CAGUCGCCGCGGGAAUACAGAGGGUGCAAGCGUUAAUCGGAAUUACUGGGCGUAAAGCGCGCGUAGGUGGUUUGUUAAGUUGGAUGUGAAAGCCCCGGGCUCAACCUGGGAACUGCAUCCAAAACUGGCAAGCUAGAGUACGGUAGAGGGUGGUGGAAUUUCCUGUGUAGCGGUGAAAUGCGUAGAUAUAGGAAGGAACACCAGUGGCGAAGGCGACCACCUGGACUGAUACUAACACUGAGGUGCGAAAGCGUGGGGAGCAAACAGGAUUAGAUACCCGAGUAGUCCCUGUCUCUUAUAC
Molecule: ribosomal RNA, 301 nt
Filed under: uncultured bacterium
Lineage: Bacteria
Description: partial 16S ribosomal RNA
Rfam family: Bacterial small subunit ribosomal RNA
Source: RNAcentral